AUUGAACGCUGGCGGCAUGCUUUACACAUGCAAGUCGAACGGCAGCGCGGGCUUCGGCCUGGCGGCGAGUGGCGAACGGGUGAGUAAUACAUCGGAACGUGCCCAGCAGUGGGGGAUAGCUCGGCGAAAGCCGGAUUAAUACCGCAUACGACCUGAGGGUGAAAGCGGGGGAUCUUCGGACCUCGCGCUAUUGGAGCGGCCGAUGGCCGAUUAGCUAGUUGGUGGGGUAAAGGCCUACCAAGGCGACGAUCUGUAGCUGGUCUGAGAGGACGACCAGCCACACUGGGACUGAGACACGGCCCAGACUCCUACGGGAGGCAGCAGUGGGGAAUUUUGGACAAUGGGCGAAAGCCUGAUCCAGCAAUGCCGCGUGUGUGAUGAAGGCCUUCGGGUUGUAAAGCACUUUUGGCGGGAACGAAAAGGACUGUGCCAAUACCACGGUUCGAUGACGGUACCCGCAGAAUAAGCACCGGCUAACUACGUG
This 484-nucleotide ribosomal RNA is filed under the name uncultured bacterium. Its description in RNAcentral is "partial 16S ribosomal RNA". It matches the Rfam family "Bacterial small subunit ribosomal RNA", at positions 29 to 507 of the family's 1533-position model. The record is from RNAcentral.